GAUGAACGCUGGCGGCGUGCCUAAUACAUGUAAGUCGAGCGAACAGACGAGGAGCUUGCUCCUCUGACGUUAGCGGCGGACGGGUGAGUAACACGUGGAUAACCUACCUAUAAGACUGGGAUAACUUCGGGAAACCGGAGCUAAUACCGGAUAAUAUAUUGAACCGCAUGGUUCAAUAGUGAAAGACGGUUUUGCUGUCACUUAUAGAUGGAUCCGCGCCGCAUUAGCUAGUUGGUAAGGUAACGGCUUACCAAGGCAACGAUGCGUAGCCGACCUGAGAGGAGGAGAAGCGAAAAGGGAAAGGAGACACGGUCACGAAUCGUACGGGAGGAGGCAGUAGGGAAUAUUGGAAAAUGGGCGCAAGCCUGAUCAAGCAAUACCGCGUGGGUGAAGAAGGUCUUCGGGUUGUAAAGCCCUUUUGUUGGGAAAGAAAAGAAGAAGGCUAAUACCACGCUGUUCUGACGGUACCGAAAGAAUAAGGAACGGCUAACUUCGUG
This 497-nucleotide ribosomal RNA is filed under the name uncultured bacterium. Its description in RNAcentral is "partial 16S ribosomal RNA". It matches the Rfam family "Bacterial small subunit ribosomal RNA", at positions 28 to 507 of the family's 1533-position model. The record is from RNAcentral.